This 18-nucleotide microRNA is filed under the name Rattus norvegicus (Norway rat). RNAcentral describes it as "rno-miR-187-5p". Its record names the gene rno-miR-187-5p. The record is from miRBase by way of RNAcentral. Lineage: Eukaryota; Metazoa; Chordata; Mammalia; Rodentia; Muridae.
AGGCUACAACACAGGACC